AGCCUUAUAGUCAACUUAUGAUGUUAGAUUGCAAAUCUGAAGGGGUAAAAUUUAUUUUACUAAGGCUU
This 68-nucleotide transfer RNA is filed under the name Hexacentrus japonicus. RNAcentral's name for it is "tRNA-Cys". Lineage: Eukaryota; Metazoa; Arthropoda; Insecta; Orthoptera; Tettigoniidae. The record is from RNAcentral.